RNAcentral lists this ribosomal RNA (253 nucleotides) under uncultured bacterium. RNAcentral's name for it is "partial 16S ribosomal RNA". It matches the Rfam family "Bacterial small subunit ribosomal RNA", at positions 524 to 776 of the family's 1533-position model. The record is from RNAcentral.
UACAGAGGUCCCGAGCGUUGUUCGGAUUCACUGGGCGUAAAGGGUGCGUAGGUGGCGGGGUAAGUCUGAUGUGAAAUCUCCAAGCUUAACUUGGAAAUGGCAUUGGAAACUACUCUGCUAGAGGGUUGGAGGGGGGACUGGAAUACUUGGUGUAGCAGUGAAAUUCGUAGAUAUCGAGAGGAACACCGGUGGCGAAGGCGGCUAUCUGGACAGUGACUGACGCUGAGACGCGAAAGCGUGGGGAGCAAACAGG